This is a long non-coding RNA of Triticum dicoccoides, 813 nucleotides long. RefSeq lists it as uncharacterized. The record is from RefSeq and is a predicted model, not a curated record. NCBI's taxonomy places the organism in Eukaryota, Viridiplantae, Streptophyta, Magnoliopsida, Poales, Poaceae. The transcript is spliced from 4 exons.
CCCACACCACACACUCUCCCUCCGCCGCCGCCCCCUGACUUGCCGGUCGAUUUGCUCGUGCCACCGCCUUUCCCACCAGCGAUUGAGCCUCUCUCAACCUCCUUCUAGAAUGUGGUGCUCCCCCCACGUUCCAAUCCGAAGGUGCCUCCUAAAGAUAGGACAAGAAAAGAGGGAGGCAGAUCCACCGCGACCAAGAGCAGGUCAGGCGGCGGCCAUGGCAUGCCCAGAUCCGCCAGCGCCAUCGUCGUCGAGCACCUCUGCUCCGAGCGUCGGAUCCACCUCGGGCUCCAUCUACACAACCACGCACUAGCAGCCGCUGCCAUGGAAGGUUCUCUAUGUGCUUGCUUCUUCCCUUCCCAAGACGAUGUUGCUCCGACCCCAUGGAUAAUGUGCAGGACAGAGCCGCCAUAUGGUGUGCACGGUGAUUCUUUUUCCACUCUAAUGCCUUCCACGCUACGUGUCCGAUGGACCUGAUUUUACUUCCACUCCGACAUAGCUAAUGGAUAUAAUGGCAGAAGGUAUCAAAUCGAAGAUGUUAUGGCUUUUCUUCAUGGCAUGCAUGGUCGACCUACUUUCAUCAUAUGGAAGUUGUUGGUGGUUCGAUGAACAAAGACUUGGUGUGUUCCGUAGUGUUUUAUAUAGUGACCAGACAUGAGUCUCUUAUGAACUUAGCCCGUAUUUUGUAACAUGUCACAACUUGUAUGUCGACCUAUGUAUUUCCUUAGUGGUUGUAGCUAACUUGAGUGAAGAAAAUUAAUGAAUCUUCUAUAUGUUCAAUAUAUAUGUAUUUAUCAAUGGUAUCUUGUGAUGAAU